RNAcentral lists this ribosomal RNA (253 nucleotides) under uncultured bacterium. Its description in RNAcentral is "partial 16S ribosomal RNA". It matches the Rfam family "Bacterial small subunit ribosomal RNA", at positions 524 to 776 of the family's 1533-position model. The record is from RNAcentral.
UACAGAGGGGGCAAGCGUUGUUCGGAAUUACUGGGCGUAAAGGGCGCGUAGGCGGCCUUCUAAGUCGGACGUGAAAUCCCCGGGCUCAACCCGGGAACUGCGUCCGAUACUGGAAGGCUUGAAUCCGGGAGAGGGAUGCGGAAUUCCAGGUGUAGCGGUGAAAUGCGUAGAUAUCUGGAGGAACACCGGUGGCGAAGGCGGCAUCCUGGACCGGCAUUGACGCUGAGGCGCGAAAGCUAGGGGAGCGAGCAGG